Long non-coding RNA from Pimephales promelas (fathead minnow), 336 nucleotides. RefSeq lists it as uncharacterized. NCBI's taxonomy places the organism in Eukaryota, Metazoa, Chordata, Actinopteri, Cypriniformes, Leuciscidae. The record is from RefSeq and is a predicted model, not a curated record.
AAAAAAAGUGAAACCACCCUCCAGAGUAGAAAUCUUAUAAACGCUCCACCGCCGCGUUUCCGUGUAAACAUAGCCUCAAAAGAAUCAGUGAGCGAAAUUACUAUCCGCUACAAUGACUCCUCAAGACGGCAUAGAAGAUGGGUUGCAGAACCGAUAUGGAUCGCUCUCUCACACUGAAGUCCGAGCAUCAGUCGAGAGCAGAGGGAAGGUGCCCAUUAAAUGAAAAUGCGUUUAACAUGGUGCUGUCAGGUUUGCAACUUUAAAGACAAGAUGAAGUCAAACUGAAUGUCACUCAAAGAAAAUAAACAAUGUAAAUGAUUACAAGUUUUUCCACAG